UCAGAUAUUUCUUUAUGGCAAUGUAAGAACAAAAUAAUAUGAAAAAUGGAUACCAAGAGUGGGGUAUUGUAAAGUUAGCUGAAAAUAUGAGAGCAGCUUUGGAACUGGAUAAUGAGCAGAGGAUGGAAGAGUUUAGAGGGCCCAGAAGAAGAUAGGAAGAUGAGGGAAAGUUUGGAACUUCUUAGAGGCUGGUUCAAUAGUUGUGACCAAAGUGCUGAUAGUGAUAUUAACAGUGAAGUCCAGGCUGCUGAGGUCUUGGAUGGAAAUGAGGAGCUUUUUGGAAACUGAAGCAAAGGUCACACGUGUUAUGCCUUAGCAAAUAACUUGUUUGCAUUCUGUUGAUGCCUUAGGGAUCUGUGGAAGUUUGAACUUCAAAGUGAUGAUUUAGGAUAUCUGACAGAAGAAAUUACUAAGCAGCAAAGCAUUCAAGAGGUGGCCAGCAGCUUCUUACAACCUAUGCUCAGGUAUUUCAAGAGAAAGAUUGGUGAAAAGGCAAGAGACAUGGAAAAGCCCUUCUUAGAGGUACAGGUGUAGAAGGACAUGUUUCCUUCCUCUUCCGCCAUGGCUGUGAGUUUUCAGAGGCCUCCAUAGCCUUGUGAAACUUGUCCUUUGCUUCAAAUAAUGAAUGCUGUGAACAGGCAGUGAAUUAGAUGCUUUUAAGAAGAAACACAUAGUGCACAAGAGCACAAUCAAAGCUGUGAUAGUAACAUGGAACUUCUAGAAAGGAGUGUGAGAGAAGAGUGCUCAGAUUUAAAAGAAGUGCUUAGCUGAUGUGUCUGUAUAUGGCAAGUGAAGAACUUACCAAAGGGGUAUAAAAGCAAAAUGCUACUAACCUUAAUGGAUUUGAAUAAUUCAGUUAUUAAGGCAUUCCCCACACAGUAAAGAAUGCAGUACCUAUAUUUAAUGACAUCAUCAUUUAUUUGCGAUCAUUUAUUGAGAGAUCAGUUGGGUGUUAAGUUUAGCAAUACACAUAGUGUGAGAGGUCAUGAAAUGCAAAGUUCAAGGAAAGCAAAUUACAUACAGAUUACUAAACAUUUCUAUUCGCAUUUAGAGAUGAUGCCAUCAGUUAUAUCUAUGGAAAACAAAUGCUUACAUACUGAAGUGUAAUAAAUGAGGGAGAAAUGUGAAGAAGUAUCAGCAUUCAUACCCAAGCCAUUAAUUAUACUAUACUACAGGAAAUCACAUGAAAUGAAGUAAAGAUAAGAAUACAUGACAUUAGUAACUUUUUCAAUUCCUUGGGAAGUUAGUACCAUUCACUACAGCCUAUAAGUGGAAAUCACACCUGAUUUUAGAAACUAUAUUGCUAAUUUUUUCCAGCAUGAGAACGUGGGACAUAAGCAUGCAUUUCUUUUCUCAGUAUUUAGAAAUGCCACACAAUUCCAACUUUACAAUGACACAUAUCUUUAAAGAGAAAAGUAGAAAUUUGGUAGUUUCAUGGUAAACUACUGCUGUCUAUUUUAUGCUCCUACUGUGCGUAUUUCAUCUCCAUCUAGUACAGAGCAAAAUUUUCAGUUAUUUGGCCACCAAAUCACACUGUGGCUCUAGGUACACUGUGAAAUAAUAGACUCAGUAUUUCCAGCAGCAGAGACCUGAAUGAAAGUCAUAAACAGAACCAUGCCCUUUAGAUUGAAAUCAUCAGUCUUGUGAAUGUAUAGGUUGCUAUCUGUAACUGACUAGCUUUUAAUAAUAUUUAACUGUCAUGAAAAGCUAAUACAGUUUAUGUUAACAAUGUUAUAUGAAUAACUGUUUCAGCUAAUGAUCCAUUCAUUUUUCCCAUUAGUGCAAGUUUGUGUGGAUGGUCUGAUUUUAUUUAAUCUUCUUUAAUGGAACUCAGCUUAUGGUUGCAACAAACCUUUUAAAAACAAGUGUCUGAUUAUUUAUCUCCUGAGUUUUGGCAGUGUUACCGAUCACGUAUAAACCAUUUUAACUCUAAUAUCCUUUACCAAUGAAAGAAAAUGAUAGCAUCUAUCAAUUAUAAAUUGUGCAUUGUAUUUCUACAAUGGCAUGUUUAAAAACACACAUAUAUUGGUAUAUUUGUUCAUAAUUCAUAGAUUAUACUCCUAACUUUGCACAUACUGAACAUGUACUGUUUAUUUCACAACUAAGUUUUUUAGCUGAAAGUCUAUUUUUAGCUGCUGAGAGAUAGAAUGCCAUAUGUUGCUUUCUGCAGUAUAACAAAGUGAUACACCUUUGUAAUGAAGUCUGGACUUCUUCCAAAAAGGAAAGUGAUAUAAUCCUUCUGGUGAACUGUGAAAUUCUACAUUUGCACAGUGUCUUACCCAGCAGGAAAUGAGCAUUCCUCAUGGACAGAUUUCGUUAGAGGUCUGAGGGAAAAGGAUAUGUUGGGAGAUUCAAUGCCAACUUUAGCAGCAGGUUAAUUGCUAGCUCUAAAAUAUUUCUGCAGUAUUUUUUUGUUUUGUUUUGUUUUCUUUUCUUUUUUUGACUGGGGAAAAAAUUUUCUAGCCACACACCCCAAAGCGAUUCAUACUUUACAUUCCGUUGUUCUCAGUAUUGACAUGCUUUUGUCGGCUUCUGUAAAGAUUCCUUGAAGAUUUAGUGGUGGCGUUGGCAGCAUCUGUUUAAUUCUACAAAUCAGUAGUGCAAGCGACUUACUUGUGGUCACCAUGGUUUUCAUCACUUAAUCUGUAAUGAUGGGAAAAUUUGUGAACAUAACGAAAAUUAGCUCUUUUAAAAAAGACAUAAGUAAUAUAUCUUAUACCUUUACAUUUGGAAGACUGUUUUUGUGGGAUAGUAAUUUUUAAAAUAUUUUCUGUAAAAAAAUGGGAAUAGGGUUGUGAAUUAUAUCACCGCGCUUAUCUAGAUAUUGCAUAUGUAGUAGAAAUAAUAAGGUGUUGGUUUUGUAUUUAAAUGAACCAAUAACUAAUGAUGUAAAAACAAAAAGAAGCCACACACCUUCCAUAGUGCAGGAGGCAGACUAUUGAUGGUGUCACAGUACACCUUGCAAAGAUGAUGUUCCAGGGAAUUUUUACCAGUAUCCCUGGACACCGGUGUUUUCAGAAAAAUGAUGAUAACUCUCCUUGGAUAUGUUUUCUUUCAAACCUUGAUCACAGUGUUGAGCAGCAACUAAUAAAUGUGGGUCUAAAGCUUCUCAUGGUUUUUUAAGGACUAUAGUCUAUGGUGAUGAAAGAUUACUAAUCCCUCUGUGAAUUAUAUAUGUUGAGUAGUGAAUAUAUUUCUUUAUUAUUUUCCCUUCUGUUUUUUUUUUAUACCAUUCACUUUUAUAUCAUGUUAUAUUUGUGUAGAACUUCAUUGCUGACAAGGCUGUUAACAAAUACUAUUUUAUUUUACCCUUUAAAAACCCUCAGGUAACACUAUGAUUCCAUAUUUAUUAAAGAAAUUAUGUUUUCCAGUUUUAUACAACUUUCCUAAAUCUACGUAAUUUAUCAUAUUAGAAAGAGCUACUGUUUCUUCCAUGCUCACUUUUGUUUUCAUAUAUUAUUAAACUCUUAUAACAUUAUAAGGCUAUUAUUUUUAGCAGAAGGAGCAUAUGAAUUACAGAGAGGUUAAAGAACUUGAAAUAGUCUCUUAACUGAGCUGUCUUUCGUUAAUUCUUCUUUCCUCCAGUCUUGCUCAAUAAAGAGUUGUUGAGUCACUUUUCUAUAAUGCCACUAGAAUGGCAUAAUAUACUUUCAGUGAACAUUUACUGCUUGUUGAUGCUGCCUGAAUAUAGUACAAAUUUCCUACCCUGGUGUUUAAGACCCGAGAUAAAGUUAUCCUAAAUUACAAUUAAAAGCUUAUGCCAGAUUUUCCAAUACUCCAAUAUAUCUAAUUUGAACUCUCCACCAUAUAUCUUCAAAUUUUCCAACAUGAAUUUUUACUUAUGCCAGUAACUUUAUCUAAAAAAAUCUUUCUCAAAUCUGCCUGUCAGCAUUUGAACUUAUUUCUAAUAUAUGGUUCAUGAAAGAGUUUUUAAUCCAUCAAGCAAUAUGAUAAUUUCCUUGAAUGAAUUCCCAUAGUUAUUUGUACUUUCUCAACCAUGCUUUGCAGCUUUCACCUCAUCUUUUAAUUGUUUUCUUUUUUUGACAUAUAAAAUGCUAUACAUGAUUAAUGCAUACAACUUGAUGAUUUAGAGAUAAGUAUCCAACCACGAAACCAUCAUCAUCACAAUCUAUGCCAUAAACCUAUCCAUCACCUCCAAAAGUUUCUUCCCAUUCUCUUAUUAUCAUUUUGCAAUAAAAACACUUAAUAUAAGAUCUACCGACUUAGCAAAACUUUAAGUAUACACUAUUAUAUUGUUAACUAUAGUUAGUGUAUGUGUAUGUAUAUAUUAUAUAUGUAUACACUGUAUCUAUGUAGUAUAGUAGACCUGUAGAACUUAUUUAUCCUGUUUAACUGAAACUUUUUACCCUUGACUAAAAUCUCUUUAUUUUUUCUCCCCCAAGCCUCUGGAAACCACCAUUCCAGUUUUAGUUUUUGUCAUCGAGAAAUUUCAAAUACCCAAAGCCUUAUAGUAUCUUGUUAGGAAAUGCAGGCAUUUUUACAUUCUGGUCCAUCAUGUUAGUAUUUAUAUAUUAUCUAGUAUGUGGAUCGAACAUAUAUGGUCACAUCAAGUAUAAUACUAUAUCAACAAUUGACAAAUUUAUAUUUUUAUUAAAGUCAGAUAAUACUGUAUUUUUGUGAAAGUAUAGUUUCUAAUUUAAUGUCAUCCUCCUCCACAGUAAAAAUUUAACAAGAACACAAAUACAAUAGAACUGAAGUGGAAUUAUCACUUUGCUUUUUGUUUAAAAGAAUGUAACAUCCUCCCAUGUUGAUCUUACAUCUACUUUGUUUUGUCGUUUUUGUAUUUUGCCAGUUUGAAUUUAUCCUUAUAAAAUCUGACCCCAGUGAUUUUUUUAAAACCAGUAAAAUAGCUUAGAACAGAGGGUAAAGUGGAAAGCAGUUUUACUUGAUAACUACCCUCCCCACAACAUAUACACACACACACACUCCAAGACUAACAUAGUGAACUGGUUCAAAUUUGUACAUCAUUGUCUUGUUCAGGGUCAGGUUCCAGCCCCAGCUGAGGGCGGAGGAGACUGGGUAAACGGGGGGCAGGGAGCUGGAAGAACAUUCAAGAAACAGCAGAUAUCAAUAUGUGAUGAUAAUGCCUAAGUCUUCAUCCUACUAGGGAAAAGGAGGCUUCUGAAAUGGCACUUGAUCAAAUUAAAGGUAUUCACUUGAAUUUAAUUCUUAGGACUCAAUAUUCAUAUAUUAUAACUAUUAUAAUGAAAGCAGAUAACAUUUGCUGAAACAACAUAGUAAUUAGAGCUGAUAGAACAAAUUUAAACUGACCCAUAUGACAGAGAUGCUGCUUCUCCUUGUAGUUUGCUUUAAUAAACCUCUCUGUUGACAGUGCAUUGAAAAGCUCAACUCAGCCAUGUAGUACUGUCCGCAGUGAGGAGGGGCUUUUCUCUCUAGCACUGCUAACAGCCCCAGAAGACAACCAGAGCAGUUACCUGGAGUGAAAAUCAGAUUGUAAAAUAAAAUGAAGUGCACUUGUCAUUAAUACUUAUUAAAUGAAAAGAUUUACAACAAAAGAUAGAGUUGUUCCUCAGUAUCCCUGGGAGAUUGGUUCUUGGACAUCUCUAGAUCAGUGUAAGGCGGGGAUUUUUCCACAGUCCUUACAGAAAAACCAAGUAGUAUGGUUAAUAUGUCCUUAAUAAUAUUCCUAUAAUAACUACAACAAAAAGAACUUUUCUAACAUGGUCUUUCAUGGUAGGCUUUAACAUCAUGGUAAUGCCAAAGAGCAUUUUUAGCAAAAAUUUAUUUUUUAAAGGAGACACAAUACAUUGGGUUCCUAAGCAAAUAGUUUUGGCUUAACAUAAAAUAAAAUUUAGAACAGAUAAGAAAAUUUAUAUUUAUUUCUGUAGGAUAUCCUUCAUAAAUAGUUUUUUUUUCAUAAUUGGAUAUUGAUAAAGGUUGGGGGAAAAUGUUGGUUCAUUCUGCAUAAUUUUCAAGUACUGAUAUUAUUUGUUGCUGCUUAAAUACAGUUACACAUGCUUUGACAAUAAUCUUGACAAAGGUUAUAGACACGUUAGGAAAAUUAUGGAACUUAAUCAGCACAUGUAUCUGAAUAGAAGGACAAGGAAUGAUUUUAGUGCCACUCUAAAAUCUUUUGCGUAAAAUUCAUCUGGUUCUAUUUGAAUACAUGAAAAAGUGGACAAUCUGUUCCAGAACAUUUUGCCAGUGAUUUCAGAUAUAACUCUUCUAUCUGGAAAUGAUUUUGUCCCAUUUGGCUCCACUAAUUGCCCAUCAUGAUUAUAGAAAUGUUUUCUUGGUUCUAUUUUUAAUAAAUGCAGAGGGACUUUAUGAAAGCACAUAACAAAAUGUUUAUUCUAGAUUAAUGAACACUUUAUUCAGCUUUAUUGAGGUAUAACUGGCAAAUUGUUUGUAUUUAAGGAGUACAAUGUGAUGUUUAGCAUAUGUAUACAUUGUGAAUGAUUUCCACUAUCAAGCUAAUUAACAUAUUCAUUAUCACAUAGUUACCUUUUAUGUAGUGAAAACAUUGAAGAUCUACUCACUUAACGUAUUUCAAUUAUAUAAUACAGUAUUAUUAACUGUAAUUACCAUGCUGUACAUUAGAUAUGUAGAAAAUACUGAUCCUGCAUAACUGAAACCUUAUACACUUUGACCAACAUCUCUCUGUUUCCUUUCUUUCAAAACCUUGGCAAUCACCAUUCUACUCUCUGCUUCUAGGAGACUGACUUUUAGAUUCCACUUAUAAGUGAGCUCAUGGUGUAUUUGUCUUUCUGUGCCUGGCGUAUUUCACUUAGAAUAAGUGAUCAUGUCAGAUAUAGAUGUUUAUUGCUUUAACUUUCUUCUUAGAACUGCUUUUUCUGUAUUUCAAAAGCUUUGGUAUGUUGUGUUUCUAUUUUCUUUUGUCUCAAGAUAUUUUUUUAAAUUUCCCUUUUGAUUUCUUCUUUAACGCAUCAGUUAUUCAGAUGUAUGUUGUUUAAUUUUCAUGUAUUGAUAACUUUGCCAAUUUUCCUCCUGCCAUAGAUUUCUAAUUUCAUCAAAUUGUGGUUAGAAAAGAUACUUGAUAUGAUUUUAAUCCUCUUAAAUUUAUUUUGUGGUCUGACUAUUCUGGAGAACAUUCCAUGUGUACUUGAAUGUGUAUUUGUUGCUUUUGGGGGAAGCAUUUGGUAUAUGACUGUUAGCUCCAUUUGGUCUAUAGCAUUGCUUGAGUUCACUGUUUUCUUGCUGAAUUUCUGUCUGGAUGAUUUCUUUAUUGUUACUCAUGGGGUACUGAAAGUUUCAUAUUAUUAUUUUAUUACUGUCUAUUUCUCCCUUCAGUUCUGUUAAUACUUGCCUUACAUAUAUUGGUGCUCCAACAGUGGGUGUACACAUAUUUACAACUGUUACAUCCUCUUGAUGAAAUGACCCCCUUAUGAUUACGUAAUGACCUUCUUUGUCUCAUGAGAGUUUUGACUUAAAGUUUACUUUGGCUUAUAUAAGUAUAGACCCUGCCUGAUCUCUUUUGGUUACCAUGUAGAUGGAAUACUUUUUUUUAUUCCUUCACUUUCAGUCCAUGUGUGUUCUUCAAACUAAUGUGAGUUUCUUAUGGGCAGCAUAUGCUGGAUCUUGUUUUGUAUCAAUUCAGCUAUUGUUUCUUUCCAAUAGAGGAUUUAAUCCAUUUGUAUUUAAAGUAAUUAUGGAGAUGUAAAGACUUACUGCGGCCAUUUUGCUAAUUGUUUUGUUACUGUUUUGAAGUUUCUUCUUUUUUUUUGUUCCUCUCUUGCUGUAUUCCUUUGUAAUUUGAUGAUUUUUUAAAAUAGAGGUAUGCUUUGAUUCUUUAUCUCUUUUGUGUAUCUACUACAAGUUUUAUUCUUUGUGAUUAUUAUGAGGUUUACAUGAAGUAUCUUAUAGUUAUAACAUUUAUUUUAAGCUGAUAAUAAUUUAAUGUUGAUUGUGUACAAAACACUGCAGUUUAACUUACUCCACACACAUUUUGUUAUUGAUGUCACAAUCUGCAUCUUUUUACAUUGUGCAUCUAUUAACACAUUAUCAUAGAUAUAGUUGUUUUUAAUACUUUGGUCUUUUUACUUUUAUGCUAGAGUUAAAAUUGACUUAUGCACCACCAUUACAGUGUUAGUGUGUUCUGAAUUUGACUAUAUUCUUUUCUUUAGAGUGACUUUUAUACUUUCAUAUGUUUUCCUAUGUUUAGUUAACAUUCCUUCAUUUUAACCUGAAUAACUUCCUUUAGCAUUUUCUGUAGCAUAAGUCUAGUGGUGAUGAAUUCCUAAGCUUUUGUUUGGGAAUACCUGAAUCUCUACUUCAUUUCUGAAAAACAAUGUUGACAUGUAUUGUAUUCUUUGUUGGCAGCAUUUUUUGCUUUCAGCACUUUGGCUAUAUUGUACUAAUAUGUCUCAGCCUAUCAAGUUUUGACUGAUAAAUCCAUUUAUUGUCCUAUGAGGGGUUCCCUUGUAAGUGAUAAUUCACUUUUCUUUUGCUGCUUUCAAAAUUCUUUAUAUUUUUUCUUUUGAGAAUUUGAUUAUUAUAUUUUGGAAAAGAUCUCUUUGUGCUAGAUCUAUUUGAAUCUAUUUGGAAAACCUGAAUAUUCAUUUUCCUUUCCAGAUUUGGAAAGUUUUCUAUCAUUGUUUCUUUAAAUAAGUUUUCUGCUUUUGUCUCUUUCUGCUCCUUCUUAAACUUUCAUAAUGCACAUAAUGCUUCUCUUGAUGGUGUUUCCUAAGUCCUAUAGGGUUUCUUCACUAUUUUCCUUAUGUUUUCUAUUUGAUCCUCUGACUACAUAAUUUUAAAUAUCUUGUGUUAAAACUCACUAAGUCUUUUUUUCUGCUUGAUUAAGUCUACUGUUGAAUCACUCUAUUGAAUUUUUUAGUUGGUCUUUGUAUUCUUCAGCUCCACAAUUUUCAUUUAAUUCUUUCUUAUGGUAUCUAUCUCAUUGGUAAGCUUCACAUUUUAUGUGAACAUAAACAAAUUUGGAUUUUAUUGUCUGUCUUCUCAUAUUGGUCAUUAUCUUCUUUAAGAUAAUCAUUUGAAAUUUUUUGGCAGGCAGUUCAUAGAUCUCCAUUUCUGUAGGGCUGGUUACUAGUGCUUUAUUUCAUUUAUUUAGUGGUGUCAUGUUUCCAUGAUUGUUCAUGUCCCUUCCCUUGUGGCCUUGUGUUGCACAUUUGCCUAAGUAGACACGUCUUCCAUUAUAUACAGAAUGGCCUUGGCAGGGAAAACCCUCAUUAGUCAGCCCUUCUAGAGGAACCAGGGCAGGCUUAUUGACGCAGAAUGCCUAGUGCCUGGGUCAGUGAGUGGGUAUGCCUAGUGCUUGUAUUUGAAAGGAUGAUCCUGGUACCUGAGUUCAUUGGAAUGAUACUGGAGCUUGGAUCCAUGUUGGUGGGCCUGGCACCUGGUUAUACAGAUGCAAGCCUGAAGCUUCAGUCCAUGGGUAUCGGCCUGGAUCCCAGGUCCUUGGGAGCCAGCCUAUAGACUAGGUCCAUGAAUAUGAACCUGGUAUCUGGUGCUGUAAGGGCUGGCCUGGAGUUUGAUCUGGCCUGGGAUGGGCCCAAAGCUUAGGUCUGAAGGGGCAAGCUGAAGUCUGGUGUCCCUAAGAUGGUCUGGCACUGAGUCAGGCUUAGAGCCUGGGACUGCAAAAACUGGCCUGGCAUUGGCAUCAGCCUGAGGCAUGGGUCCUCAGGGGUAGGCUGGAACCUGGUCAUACAGGCACCAGCCUGGAGCCUUGGGCCAUGGAGCAAGACUUGCACUUAAUUGGGACUGAAGCCUAGAGCUGUGGGGGUUGAACUGGUAGCUGCAGCAUGGGAAUCAGCUGGCUCCAGAAUUCACUGGGAUGGGCCUGGUACUUGGGCAAAGUCAGGCACUCACUUUACUUUCCUUCCCCCACAAAGAGGGCAUUUCUUUCUAAGUGGCACGGGCUUGGGGGUGGGGUGAUGCCAACAAUGCGAAACUAUCUUUCCUACCUUCUUCAGUGCAUCUUUUCUGGGGUCUUUUCUUAUUUCUGUGGUCCACUUGGAUGCUAUAAUAUCUCACUUGUAUUCUUUAACUCUCAUGAACUUAUUUUUGCUUGCGAUAGUUCAAAUUCGCUUCUGUGAGUGAAUGAGUGCUGGAAACUCCUAUUUCACCAUCUUUCUAACACUCUCCUCCACUCUACUGAAUAAACACACACACAAACAUAUAUAUAAAUUUAUGAAAAUUUAUUAAAAAUAAUGAUCAAAUUUUAGAGCAUCUGAUCGUAAGUCAGAUUUAAUUGUCAAGGCAAUCCUAGUGUCUCAAACCUCAUAUCAUGUGUAAGUUUUAAAACAUUUAGAUCGCCAUUCUCAAUUUCUGAAUAGAUGUGUAGUUUAUAGUUUCAAAUCAUUAAGGUAAAAACUUCAUAAAUGGAAGACGGACCCAUUUCUGUUUUAGAGUGCUCUAAAUAAAGUGUUCUAGCUGUCUAUAAUAUUUCUGUUCACCCUGUUAUCUAUAAGGUAUGAAUAUGCAAGUUAUAUCUGAGUAUCAGUAAUUGGGAGUGAAGAUUAAGUUUGACCCAGAAAAGUUUCAACUCAAAGGAAACAAAAUUACCAGUAAAAGCUAAAACAAAUGUUUCACUUUAUUCAUAACCAUUUUUUUGACACGUUGAUUAAACAGAGCCAGGAUUAGGGUGUGACAAACUUUGAGCUUGAGGCACAAAAUUUAAGGGCGUACUCAGUCUCAGCUGCUAACAAGUAAGACAAGAAAUAUUCUAUGCAGUAGAUGUCCAGGAUUUUUGCCUCGGGUAUAGGCAAUCAGUAUUUCAGUGAAGGAGCCGGACACUCCAUAGGUGAGCUUAGAGGACACAGCACAAUGAUGUAUUUUAGUGUUAUUUUCACAGAUGGUGGAGGUGGCUUCCAUGCUGAUUUUUUAAAUGGUGCAGUUAGCUGACGUGAGCACCUAGGAAUGUAUAGAAAAGUCAUUCCUUAUACAGCUUUGAAGUAUUUGUUUUUUGGUGAUUUUACAUUCUUCAAAGUUGCUUAUACAAAAUAUAAACAUUUUCAUAGUAUGCAUGUAUAGAAAUAUCUCAAAAAUUUAAUUAUACAACAGGACAAUUUGGAUAUUUUAAUAUAUAUUUUAAACAAACUGAGAGCAAGAGGGAAAUCAUUGUAUUUUGUCCUUCCAGAGAAAGAGGAGUCAGGCACCUAAGUCCAGUAUUUCCGUGAUAUUCCACUAUGAAGAGCCAUUCUUUUACAUAAACAUACAUGACCUGCUCUUUUCACUUUAGAUUCUACAUUUUGUGAGCUCAUGCCCAUAUGAUUAUAUUUUCUUCAAGGUAUCACCUGAUAAUUCAGAUAAUUGAAGGUUAAUAAUUAAUGACACCUUCCUCUUCAUUUACUUCUAAAUCAAUUUAAAAAAAACAAACAAACUAAAAAAAGAGCCUUAUGGAAAAA
Molecule: non-coding RNA, 11366 nt
Organism: Chlorocebus sabaeus (green monkey)
Lineage: Eukaryota; Metazoa; Chordata; Mammalia; Primates; Cercopithecidae
Source: RefSeq, a predicted model, not a curated record